This 253-nucleotide ribosomal RNA is filed under the name uncultured bacterium. RNAcentral describes it as "partial 16S ribosomal RNA". It matches the Rfam family "Bacterial small subunit ribosomal RNA", at positions 524 to 776 of the family's 1533-position model. The record is from RNAcentral.
UACGUAGGGUGCAAGCGUUGUCCGGAAUUAUUGGGCGUAAAGAGCUCGUAGGCGGUCUGUUACGUCGGCUGUGAAAACCUGGGGCUCAACCCCGGGCCUGCAACCGAUACGGGCAGACUAGAAUUCGGUAGGGGAGACUGGAAUUCCUGGUGUAGCGGUGAAAUGCGUAGAUAUCUGGAGGAACACCGGUGGCGAAGGCGGCAUCCUGGACCGGUAUUGACGCUGAGGCGCGAAAGCUAGGGGAGCAAACGGG